GGGGGCAGGGCCUUGGCAGAGAGACAAGGUCAGACAGGAGGGGAUGUGGGCUCAGCAUGAGAGCUGCCUCCUCUCCGGUCAAACCAGCACUAACUGCGGGGUCAGAUCAGAUUUUUUGUUUUCUGGUGCAGCCUGGAUACUGAUCUCAUGUAGAGGAGCAUCAACAUAGAAAGCAAUGCAAUGUUAACUAUACAUUCGAAAAUAUUUAAAAAAUAAUUCAUAUAGCCUAUUCAUAAGUUGGCCUUCUUCCCUUCCCUGAUCUGUGAGAUUAAAUGGCACUUUCGCUGAGCAUGUGACAUGACAGAGAAAAUGAAAUAUAAAAUAAAAAAUCACAAACUCUAAUAUCUGAGUUACACUCUGAGACUCAGUCAUGUGCAUUUUUUAUGUGCCGCAACCAAAGCGCAGCCACUUGAUCUCUCGGCGGAGCUGCCUUGCGUGUUAAAGGAGGGAUAAACCUUUAAGAUUUUUGGCACCCACAGGGGGCCUGACAUCCUCACCAGUGGAUGUCAGUGUUCCAAGCGACAGAGGGGAGCGAGACCCGCUGAGAGCUGCCCUUCGCCUGAACCUGCAGUGCCAUUUUUUCCACACUCAUAAUAAAAAUAUAAAACCCUCCCCUCCUCAUCCCACCGAAUCCGUCUGAAGUUAUUUUGGAGCUGUCUGGGUUGACACGGUGCGGCUAUUGGCUGUCUCGGAAGGAUGGAGGACCUGCGAGGUGAUCCGCGUAUCUAUAUAGAUGAGAAUAGCACUGGAACACACACGCUUGCAAGCGUGAUCACUGAAGCAUCCAGCAAGAGGGAUAUAAGUUCAACAAUGGGACUCGGUUGGUAGGGCAAAGGAGUGUAAAAUCCCUUAAGUAUCUCACUGAUCCAGUCAUAGUUUUAGAUAAGGCCGUGCCUGAUACCACACUGCCUCCAACUGACAAGCUUAGAGAUAAUGAGUUCAUGGAGAAUACAUAUUAGUUCAUGCAACAGAACUAGCUACAAGCAAUGUCUUGUGAAGAAAUAUGAAUCAGCGGAAUGCACAGUGAUGUAAUGUUUCUGUGCUACAGCGUGCGAUGAGACUGCGCCAGCGGCAUGCCCUGUUCCUGGAUGUGACAUUAAAAGGGUCCCGUGGCAUGAUGGCAGCCGGCGGUGAGGGCGAUAGUGGACACAAGGAAACCUUCAGCGCAGAGCCAAAAACCCACAGCCUGGGAUCGGGGAUUUACACCAAAACAGAAUAGACGGAUUGCGCUCCUCUUUCCACACUUGGAUUGCCUAUGUGUAUGAAUUGUGUUAUAUAAAUAAACUUGCCUCACUUUC
This is a long non-coding RNA of Clupea harengus (Atlantic herring), 1298 nucleotides long. RefSeq lists it as uncharacterized. The record is from RefSeq and is a predicted model, not a curated record. NCBI's taxonomy places the organism in Eukaryota, Metazoa, Chordata, Actinopteri, Clupeiformes, Clupeidae.